This 465-nucleotide ribosomal RNA is filed under the name uncultured Klebsiella sp. RNAcentral describes it as "bacterial SSU rRNA". It matches the Rfam family "Bacterial small subunit ribosomal RNA", at positions 338 to 795 of the family's 1533-position model. Lineage: Bacteria; Pseudomonadati; Pseudomonadota; Gammaproteobacteria; Enterobacterales; Enterobacteriaceae. The record is from RNAcentral.
CCUACGGGUGGCAGCAGUGGGGAAUAUUGCACAAUGGGCGCAAGCCUGAUGCAGCCAUGCCGCGUGUGUGGAGAAGGCCUUCGGGUUGUAAAGCACUUUCAGCGGGGAGGAAGGCGGUGAGGUUAAUAACCUCAUCGAUUGACGUUACCCGCAGAAGAAGCACCGGCUAACUCCGUGCCAGCAGCCGCGGUAAUACGGAGGGUGCAAGCGUUAAUCGGAAUUACUGGGCGUAAAGCGCACGCAGGCGGUCUGUCAAGUCGGAUGUGAAAUCCCCGGGCUCAACCUGGGAACUGCAUUCGAAACUGGCAGGCUAGAGUCUUGUAGAGGGGAGUAGAAUUCCAGGUGUAGCGGUGAAAUGCGUAGAGAUCUGGAGGAAUACCGGUGGCGAAGGCGGCCCCCUGGACAAAGACUGACGCUCAGGUGCGAAAGCGUGGGGAGCAAACAGGAUUAGAUACCCGGGUAGUC